Molecule: ribosomal RNA, 253 nt
Filed under: uncultured bacterium
Lineage: Bacteria
Description: partial 16S ribosomal RNA
Rfam family: Bacterial small subunit ribosomal RNA
Source: RNAcentral
UACAGAGGUCCCGAGCGUUGUUCGGAUUCACUGGGCGUAAAGGGUGCGCAGGUGGUUGGGCAAGUUCGAUGUGAAAGCCCCGGGCUUAACCCGGGAAUGGCAUUGAAAACUGUUUGACUGGAGGAUCGGAGGGGGGACUGGAAUUCUUGGUGUAGCAGUGAAAUGCGUAGAUAUCAAGAGGAACACCAGUGGCGAAGGCGAGUCCCUGGACGAUACCUGACACUGAGGCACGAAAGCUAGGGGAGCAAACAGG